GUUGUAGCAAUAAAAGAGCAGUGGAGGUGGGGUGGAAGAAGACUCAUUUUUGUCUUCAUUACUGCUAUGUGGAGCAAGGGCCCAAGCUUUUAAAAACAAGAGCUCAGAGACAUGGCCCUGGCCUUGGAAGAUGCCCUAGAGACGCUGAGGUGGUUGUACUUUUGCCAUAGGAGUGGCAGCCAGAGAACUGAGCCCAAUGAAUGCAAAGGCUGGUGCCUGGAAAUAUUGUGACUUGCCACAGAAAGAAGAUGGAGAAUUUUAAAGUUGGAAAUCUGCCUGGUAAGGGAUCAUUUGCUGGUGUCUGCAAAGUUGAGUCCAUACACACUGGUUUGGAAAUUUCAGUCCAGAUGAUAGUUAAGAAAGGAGUAAGAAUACAGAGAGUCCACAAUGAGAUGAAAAUGCACUGCCAGUUGAAAUAUCCUCCUACACUGGAGCUUUAUAAAUAUUUUAAAGACAAGGAUUGGAUUAGAUUUGACAUUAGAAAUGUACCAUAAUACAGAAGGCAAUGGACACCUAAAGAACAGAAUGAAAACCUUCUUAGGAAAUGAAGCUUGACACUUCACCCACCAGGCCACCACAAGAAUGUUGCAUUUUCAUUAUUAUGAAAGAACUUCCAGAUCAUUAUAGGCCUUGGAUGGAAAUUGCCAACAAACUUCCUCAACUGAUUGAUGCUCACCAGCUUCAAGCUCAUGUGGACAAGAUGCCCCUGCUGAGCUGCCAGUUCCUGAAGGGUCACCGGGAGCAGCGCCUGGCCCACCUGGUCCUGAGCUUCCUCACCAUGGGUUAUGUCUGGCAGGAAGGAGAGGCGCAGCCUGCAGAGGUCCUGCCAAGGAAUCUUGCCCUUCCAUUUGUCGAAGUCUCCAGGAACUUGGGGCUCCCUCCUAUCCUGGUCCACUCAGACUUGGUGCUGACGAACUGGACCAAAAAAGAUCCAGACGGAGACGGAGUCUCCCUCUGUCUCCCAGGCUGGAGUGCAGUGGCAUGAUCUCGGCUCACUGCAACCUCUGCCUCCUGGGUUUGAGCAAUUCUCCUGCCUCAGCCUCCUGAGUAGCUGGGAUUGCAGGCACCUACCACCACACCCGACUAAUUUUUGUAUUUUUAGAGAGAUGGGGUUUUACCACGUUGGUCAGGCUGGUAUCGAAUCCUCGACCUCAUAAUCCACCUGCCUCAGCCUUCCAAAGUGCUAGGAUUACAGGCAUGAGCCACUGCGCCCAGCCUAAUAAUAUAUUAAGAUGGCCACAGGCCAAAUAUUCUGGGGCUGGGAUGUGAGUGGAAAUGUCGCUCACCCUUUAUCACAUAGCACCCCAUAGUCCAGCCACAACUUGCAGAAUUCAAAGUAAGUGUGGAUGUGUGUGUGUCUGCAGUGCCUUGCACACAAGUGUGCAUGCCUGUGGACAUGUGACCCUAGAAGUUAUUAAUAUAUCUGGUUUACAAACUGAAUUGUUCUUUUAUUUUUUUUCUCUCUUGGUGGUCAUCAAUAACUGAAAUUGGGCUAGAUUCCUGGAAAUUGGGUAAGUUCUCAGAAAUCAUUUACGCACUUUAGAAUCCAGGCCAAAUUUAAAAUCUUACAAUAAAACAAAGAACAAAGCAUGCUAAAUUAUAUGUAUAGUAUAAUAUCAACCAUAUAAAAUGCAUAAAAAAUAUACUAGAAGGAAAUGUGCCUAAAAUUCACAGUCUAAAAAUUAACAGUGAUUGCCUCUUCCUUGUAUAGAUAAGGGAUUUUUUUUUACUGUAUUUUCCAGUCUGUACAUAAUAAAACAAGUAAUGUGCAAUGCAAACAAAACAAAAUGAAACUUUAUCAAAUUUCAGUAACUCUUUGAAGUUUAAUUUUUUUUUUGAGACUGAGUCUUAUUCUGUUGCCCAGGUUGGAGUGCAGUGGUGUGAUCUCAGCUCACUGCAACCUCUGCCUCUGGGUUCAAGGGAUUCUCCUGCCUCAGCCUCCCGAGUACCUGAGAUUACAGGCACCCACAACCACACCUGGCUAAUUUUUGUAUUUUUAGUUGAGACAGCGUUUCACUAUGUUGGCCAGGCAGGUCUUGAACUCCUGACCUCAGGUGAUCCACCCGCCUUGGCCUCCCAAAGUGCUGGGAUUGCAGGCGUGAGCCACUGCACCCAGUUGAAGUUUAAUAGUGUGAAAAAAAUAUUUCUCAUCUCACUAUAUCUUCUAUGGGAGGCCAGAUUGCAGAUUGGCUACAGAAAAAUCCCUUCAAAAGACCUUGUUAUUACAUAGACUGGAGCUCAUGGGGCAGGUCUGGUCCACACAUCCUUAGGCUCCGCUUCUCCUGGAAAACAAAAAUAGCCUCUGAUCCAGUGUUGCCUCUCCCAUCACCAAACCUCAGCUUCUAUCGCCAAACUCAUCAAAUAAGAGUGUCCAGUAGAAAAACUGGGCAGAUGGGGGCACAGAAGGUGAAGACAUCAUUUCCCAAGCUAAUGUUGCUGCUGGAACAAUAGUCUCACUCUAUCACCCAGGCUGGAGUGCAGUGGCGUCAUCUCGGCUCGCUGCAACCUCUUGCCUCAGUCUCUUGCGUAGCUGGGAUUACAGGCAUGCCCCGUCACGCCCAGCUAAUUUUUGUAUUUUUAGUAGAGACGGAGUUUCACCAUGUUGGCCAGGCUGAUCUCGAACUCCUGACCUCAGGAACCUGGAGACCAUCAUCUCAUUUCCUGGGGGAGAGAGCCUGCAUGGUUUUAUACUGGUGACUGCUUUGGUGGAGAAAGCAGCAGUGCCUGGGAUAAAGGCUCUUGUUCAGGCCACGAAUGCUAUCUUGCAGCCCAACCAGGAGGCCCUGCUCCAAGCCCUGCAGCGACUGAGACUGUCUAUUCAGGACAUCACCAAAACCUUAGGACAGAUGCAUGAUGGAAAGACAACCCAGCAAUGCCUGCAGGGCUGAUGUAUGAAGGAGUUUCCCAAGAGCCCCUGAAAUACUCCGGCGGGAGUGCAGCUCAGAGCACAGUGCUUCAGGCCUUUGAUGAGUUCUUAGGCAUUCGUCAUAGCAAAGAAAGUGCUGACUUUCUGUACAGAAUGAGGGAUUACAUGCCUCCUUCCCAUAAGGCCUUCAUAGAAGACAUCCACUCAGCACCUUCCCUGAGGGACUACAUCCUGUCCUCUGGACAGGACCACUUGCUGACAGCUUAUAACCAGUGUGUGCAGGCCCUGGCAGAGCUGCGGAGCUAUCACAUCACCAUGGUCACCAAAUACCUCAUCACAGCUGCAACCAAGGCAAAGCAUGGGAAGGCAAAGCAUGGGAAGCCAAACCAUCUCCCAGGGCCUCCUCAGGCUUUAAAAGACAGGGGCACAGGUGGAACCGCAGUUAUGAGCUUUCUUAAGAGUGUCAGGGAUAAGACCUUGGAGUCAAUCCUUCACCCACGUGGUUAGGAGGCUGCCCUCUCCCCAGUAAUGCAGAGCCCCCAUGGAGGGCAGGUGGGCCUGGAGAAUGAGGGUCAGGGUUCUGCCUGGGAUCAUCCAGGAAGGAUCUCAGCCCUAUUCAUGUUUCUGCUCUACAGAGCACUAUAUUCUCCUUGUUGAGAGCUGUUGGCUUCACAAAGGAGAGUUGAUGUGGCCAAGCCUUUCCCUCCCUACCUGAUCACUGCUUAACGGCAUGUAUAAUGGAUACUUCCUCAUGCAGAACCCCCAGAGGAGUGACAGUACGCCAUUCUCUUUGCCAAGUAAUAGAAAACCAAUCUAAAUGUCAAAAAUCAGAUAAAAUUGCCUGGGGAUACAUUACUUGUUGACUUUCUUAAAAAACAAAUUCACUUAACAAUUCAUUAAGUUCAUACUGAGCACUGCCUCCAAGAUUAAAACAAGGAUUUCUGUGGUCCCAGACCAGCCCUCUUCUCCCUGAAUGUGUUGAGUUGGUGGCAGGAGGUUGGAAAUGCUCCAGUGGAGAUGGGAAGAUAGAGGAUGCUGACAAUAAGGACUUGGAAGUCACUAGUGUGAAAAUGAGCAGUUAAUGAUAUGGGAACGGAUGAGACUUUCCACGUGGUACCUAGAUUUGCAAAUUCUAUUGUAAUGCCUUUAUUUUUAGAAGAAUUAUUCUCUCUUCUUACUCUGAAAAUCUGUAUUUGUAAAAUGAAUGAAUGGAUCCUAUAUAAGUAAAUAAGAAAACUGGGAAUAAGUAGUAAAUCAAUGUGUUUAGUGUUCAAAUAAAUGUAAAUGCUUUUAUUG
Molecule: small RNA, 4162 nt
Filed under: Pan troglodytes (chimpanzee)
Lineage: Eukaryota; Metazoa; Chordata; Mammalia; Primates; Hominidae
Description: processed transcript
Source: RNAcentral